Long non-coding RNA from Papilio machaon (common yellow swallowtail), 1184 nucleotides. RefSeq lists it as uncharacterized. The transcript is spliced from 3 exons. The record is from RefSeq and is a predicted model, not a curated record. Lineage: Eukaryota; Metazoa; Arthropoda; Insecta; Lepidoptera; Papilionidae.
AUGAGGCGCAGAUGAGGCGCAGAUGAGGCGCAGAUGAGGCGCAGAUGAGGCGCAGUUCAGAGCAGCUGACAGCGGCCGAGUCCGCGGCGCCGACGUCGCUGCUUCUCCUCCUGCUGUGGGUGUUUGCGGAUGAUGCGCAGAUGAGGCGCAGAUGAGGUGCAGAUGAGGCGCAGUUCAGAGCAGCUGACAGCGGCCGAGUCCGCGGCGCCGACGUCGCUGCUUCUCCUCCUGCUGUGGGUGUUUGCGGAUGAUGCGCAGAUGAGGCGCAGAUGAGGUGCAGAUGAGGCGCAGUUCAGAGCAGCUGACAGCGGCCGAGUCCGCGGCGCCGACGUCGCUGCUUCUCCUCCUGCUGCGGGUGUUUGCGGAUGAUGCGCAGAUGAGGCGCAGAUGAGGCGCAGAUGAGGCGCAGUUCAGAGCAGCUGACAGCGGCCGAGUCCGCGGCGCCGACGUCGCUGCUUCUCCUCCUGCUGUGGGUGUUUGCGGAUGAUGCGCAGAUGAGGCGCAGAUGAGGCGCAGAUGAGGCGCAGUUCAGAGCAGCUGACAGCGGCCGAGUCCGCGGCGCCGACGUCGCUGCUUCUCCUCCUGCUGCGGGUGUUUGCGGAUGAUGCGCAGAUGAGGCGCAGAUGGGGCGCAGAUGAGGCGCAGUUCAGAGCAGCUGACAGCGGCCGAGUCCGCGGCGCCGACGUCGCUGCUUCUCCUCCUGCUGUGGGUGUUUGCGGAUGAUGCGCAGAUGAGGCGCAGAUGAGGCGCAGAUGAGGCGCAGUUCAGAGCAGCUGACAGCGGCCGAGUCCGCGGCGCCGACGUCGCUGCUUCUCCUCCUGCUGUGGGUGUUUGCGGAUGAUGCGCAGAUGAGGCGCAGAUGAGGCGCAGAUGAGGCGCAGUUCAGAGCAGCUGACAGCGGCCGAGUCCGCGGCGCCGACGUCGCUGCUUCUCCUCCUGCUGCGGGUGUUUGCGGAUGAUGCGCAGAUGAGGCGCAGAUGGGGCGCAGAUGAGGCGCAGUUCAGAGCAGCUGACAGCGGCCGAGUCCGCGGCGCCGACGUCGCUGCUUCUCCUCCUGCUGCGGGUGUUUGCGGAUGAUGCGCAGAUGAGGCGCAGAUGAGGCGCAGUUCAGAGCAGCUGACAGCGGCCGAGUCCGCGGCGCCGACGUCGCUGCUUCUCCUCCUGCUGUGGGUGUUUGCGGAUGA